This 65-nucleotide transfer RNA is filed under the name Paramphistomum cervi. RNAcentral's name for it is "tRNA-Thr". The record is from RNAcentral. Lineage: Eukaryota; Metazoa; Platyhelminthes; Trematoda; Plagiorchiida; Paramphistomidae.
GAAAAGGUAGUUUAUGUUGAGAAUGUUGUUUUUGUAAAACAGAGGUAUUGUGUGGAUUCUUUUCA